AUUGAACGCUGGCGGCAGGCCUAACACAUGCAAGUCGAACGGUAGCACAGAGGAGCUUGCUCCUUGGGUGACGAGUGGCGGACGGGUGAGUAAUGUCUGGGAAACUGCCCGAUGGAGGGGGAUAACUACUGGAAACGGUAGCUAAUACCGCAUAACGUCGCAAGACCAAAGAGGGGGACCUUCGGGCCUCUUGCCAUCGGAUGUGCCCAGAUGGGAUUAGCUAGUAGGUGGGGUAACGGCUCACCUAGGCGACGAUCCCUAGCUGGUCUGAGAGGAUGACCAGCCACACUGGAACUGAGACACGGUCCAGACUCCUACGGGAGGCAGCAGUGGGGAAUAUUGCACAAUGGGCGCAAGCCUGAUGCAGCCAUGCCGCGUGUAUGAAGAAGGCCUUCGGGUUGUAAAGUACUUUCAGCGAGGAGGAAGGCAUUAAGGUUAACAACCUUAGUGAUUGACGUUACUCGCAGAAGAAGCACCGGCUAACUCCGUGCCAGCAGCCGCGGUAAUACGGAGGGUGCAAGCGUUAAUCGGAAUUACUGGGCGUAAAGCGCACGCAGGCGGUCUGUCAAGUCGGAUGUGAAAUCCCCGGGCUCAACCUGGGAAC
This 604-nucleotide ribosomal RNA is filed under the name uncultured bacterium. RNAcentral describes it as "bacterial SSU rRNA". It matches the Rfam family "Bacterial small subunit ribosomal RNA", at positions 28 to 621 of the family's 1533-position model. The record is from RNAcentral.